RNAcentral lists this long non-coding RNA (516 nucleotides) under Zonotrichia albicollis (white-throated sparrow). RNAcentral describes it as "lncRNA (ENSZALG00000001793.1)". The record is from RNAcentral. Lineage: Eukaryota; Metazoa; Chordata; Aves; Passeriformes; Passerellidae.
GAGUUCCAUGGGCUGUACAGGACAAGGUGUCACACUCUGCGCAGCACAGGGUGUCACACACAGCCCAGGGUGUCACACACAUUCCAGGACAGUGUCACACACUGCCCAGGACGGUGUCACACACAGCCCAGGGUGUCACACACAGUUCAGGACGGUGUCACACACAUUCCAGGACGGUGUCACACACUGCACAUGGUGUCACACACAGUCCAGGACAGUGUCACACACAGCCCAGGACGGUGUCACACACAGCCCAGGGUGUCACACACAGUUCAGGACGGUGUCACACACAGCCCAGGACAGUGUCACACACAGCCCAGGACAGGGUCACACACUGCACAGGGUGUCACACACAGCCCAGGACAGGACGGUGUCACACACUGCACAGUGUGUCACACACAGCCCAGGAUGGUGUCACACACUGCACAGUGUGUCACACACAGCCCAGGACGGUGUCACACACUGCCCAGGACAGUGUCACACACAGCCCAGCACAGGCAGAGCCCGGGCAGCUCC